UGGAGACUAGUUCCUUCAAGGAAAAGUAUAACAGGUUAGCGUACAUACAGAAAAAAUACUCCCCAUGCCCCCAUCCCCACUGCCACCCUGAAGUGGCCUCUGGCUGUUUACCCAGAUAGGUGUACUCCGUAAUAAAGGGAAUUCUCAAAGCUCCCUCUACAAGCAUAUGGGAGUCAGUGAGGCUGCACACAGAGGAGAAUUUUUGCCCACCUCAUGGUGGGCAGGUUCAAGCAAACAUGAAGGGAAGAAAGGAUGGGAAUCAAAGCACGGCCUGGCAGGAAUGUCUUGGUGACUUUGGGGAAGGGAAGAAAGGAUGGGAAUCAAAGCACGGCCUGGCAGGAAUGUCUUGGUGACUUUGGGGAAGGGAAGAAAGGAUGGGAAUCAAAGCACGGCCUGGCAGGAAUGUCUUGGUGACUUUGGGGAAGGGAAGAAAGGAUGGGAAUCAAAGCACGGCCUGGCAGGAAUGUCUUGGUGACUUUGGGCGAAUCCUCUUGGGGAAAAUGUGUAUGUCCCUUCCAGAUAGGGCAAAACCUAGUACGUCCCUUUCUGUGGGCUAUUUGGGGUCAGGCACUUCCCUAGGAAAAAUAAGGCCCGCCCAAAUCAGUAUUGGGUACAAGGGUCGUAAGGGACCAAGGAGGAGUCAUUAGUAGUAUUUCCUAUUCUGCCUAGGAAUCCUCGUUCACGCUCCUGCGGCCUAUGUCAAGGGUCUUCUAGUGCCCGAGAAAAAUCUAGGGCUCUUUCUCAACUUCUGCCGCCCUCUUGG
Molecule: long non-coding RNA, 763 nt
Filed under: Rattus norvegicus (Norway rat)
Lineage: Eukaryota; Metazoa; Chordata; Mammalia; Rodentia; Muridae
Description: long non-coding RNA NONRATT007743
Source: RNAcentral